This 816-nucleotide ribosomal RNA is filed under the name Styracaster longispinus. RNAcentral's name for it is "partial 12S ribosomal RNA". Lineage: Eukaryota; Metazoa; Echinodermata; Asteroidea; Paxillosida; Porcellanasteridae. The record is from RNAcentral.
ACCAAUUUGGUCCUAGUCCUCCUCUUGGUUUUUUCUAAAAUGAUACAUGCAAGUCAUCGACAACCCGGUGAGUAAAUAUAAAAGUAUUCUUCUAAAAGAAGAAUCACCACACCAACGGUAUCAGGAUUCAACAUUGAACCCAUAACACCUAGCAUCCCACACCUGCAGUACUAAACAUUAUACAAUAUGUACACACUUGAUAUAGUUACAGAAAAAAGGGUUGGUAAAUUAUGUGCCAGCCACCGCGGUUAUACAUAAAACCCUAAUCAAGAACUUAACGGUAAAAAGUGGUUAGAAAAACUCAAUAAAACAUAAAGAAAGAUCCCCUCUAGUAGUAAUAAACUUUAUAGAAAGAUCAAGCACAAAUUAAAAUAAACCUUAUGUUAAUAUUGCUUCUCCAUUUAUUCGAAGCCACUAAAGCUCAAAAAUAAACUGGGAUUAGAUACCCCACUAUAUGAGCCAUAAAACACACUACCCGAGAACUACGAACUAAAGUUUAAAACUCAAAGGACUUGGCGGUUUUUUAGACCUACCUGGAGGAGCUUGCAACCUAACCGAUAACCCACGAAACACCUUACCAGCCUUUGAAAAAUCAACCUGUAUACCAUCGUCGUCAGUCUACUCCUUAAGAAAGUAAACACAAUGAAAACUCCUUCCUUACGUCAGAUCGAGGUGCAGUUAAUAUGCUGGGGGUAAGUGAGCUACAAUAUUUCACCCUCAAUUUUGAAUAAUCCCUUGAAAUAAAGAUUUGAAACAGGAUUCAGAAGUAAUAUCUACCAGAAAAUAGAUAUGAACAAACCCAAGCUCUAAAAUGCG